UCGGGAAUAUUGCGCAAUGGAGGAAACUCUGACGCAGUGACGCCGCGUAUAGGAAGAAGGUUUUCGGAUUGUAAACUAUUGUCGUUAGGGAAGAAAAAAGACAGUACCUAAGGAGGAAGCUCCGGCUAACUACGUGCCAGCAGCCGCGGUAAUACGUAGGGAGCAAGCGUUAUCCGGAUUUAUUGGGUGUAAAGGGUGCGUAGACGGGCGAUCAAGUUAGUUGUGAAAUCCCUCGGCUCAACUGAGGAACUGCAACUAAAACUGGUUGUCUUGAGUGCAGGAGAGGUAAGUGGAAUUCCUAGUGUAGCGGUGAAAAUGCGUAGAUAUUAGGAGGAACACCAGUGGCGAAGGCGACUUACUGGACUGUAACUGACGUUGAGGCACGAAAGUGUGGGGAGCAAACAGGAUUAGAUACC
Molecule: ribosomal RNA, 416 nt
Filed under: uncultured bacterium
Lineage: Bacteria
Description: bacterial SSU rRNA
Rfam family: Bacterial small subunit ribosomal RNA
Source: RNAcentral